This 268-nucleotide ribosomal RNA is filed under the name uncultured bacterium. Its description in RNAcentral is "partial 16S ribosomal RNA". It matches the Rfam family "Bacterial small subunit ribosomal RNA", at positions 793 to 1055 of the family's 1533-position model. The record is from RNAcentral.
GUCCUAGCCCUAAACGAUGCUCAUUAGAUGUGGGAGGUAUCGACCCCUUCCGCGUCGCAGCUAACGCAUUAAAUGAGCCGCCUGUGGAGUACGGCCGCAAGGUUGAAACUCAAAGGAAUUGACGGGGGCCCCGCACAAGCGGUGGAACAUGUGGUUUAAUUCGACGCAACGCGAAGAACCUUACCCGGGCUUGAACUACUCAUGGUAGUUCGCUGGAAACAGUGGACGACCCGCAAGGGAGUGAGCAGAGGUGCUGCAUGGUUGUCGU